UAGGGAAUCUUCCGCAAUGGACGCAAGUCUGACGGAGCAACGCCGCGUGAGUGAAGAAGGUUUUCGGAUCGUAAAACUCUGUUGUAAGAGAAGAACAAAUUGUAGAGUAACUGCUACAGUCUUGACGGUAUCUUACCAGAAAGCCACGGCUAACUACGUGCCAGCAGCCGCGGUAAUACGUAGGUGGCAAGCGUUGUCCGGAUUUAUUGGGCGUAAAGCGCGCGCAGGUGGUUUAGAAAGUCUGAUGUGAAAGCCCACGGCUCAACCGUGGAGGGUCAUUGGAAACUAAUAAACUUGAGUGCAGGAGAGAAAAGUGGAAUUCCUAGUGUAGCGGUGAAAUGCGUAGAGAUUAGGAGGAACACCGGUGGCGAAAGCGGCUUUUUGGCCUGCAACUGACACUGAGGCGCGAAAGCGUGGGGAGCAAACAGG
This 429-nucleotide ribosomal RNA is filed under the name Verrucomicrobiota bacterium. RNAcentral describes it as "Verrucomicrobia bacterium partial 16S ribosomal RNA". It matches the Rfam family "Bacterial small subunit ribosomal RNA", at positions 355 to 776 of the family's 1533-position model. Lineage: Bacteria; Pseudomonadati; Verrucomicrobiota. The record is from RNAcentral.